UGCCUGUUUACCAAAAACAUCACCUCUAGCAUAUCUAGUAUUAGAGGCACUGCCUGCCCAGUGACAUAUAUUUCAACGGCCGCGGUAUCCUAACCGUGCAAAGGUAGCGUAAUCACUUGUUCCCUAAAUAGGGACCUGUAUGAAUGGCCACACGAGGGUUUUACUGUCUCUUACUUUCAAUCAGUGAAAUUGACCUUCCCGU
Molecule: ribosomal RNA, 202 nt
Filed under: Ceratotherium simum (white rhinoceros)
Lineage: Eukaryota; Metazoa; Chordata; Mammalia; Perissodactyla; Rhinocerotidae
Description: partial 16S ribosomal RNA
Rfam family: Bacterial large subunit ribosomal RNA
Source: RNAcentral